GUAGGGAAUAUUGCGCAAUGGGGGAAACCCUGACGCAGCGACGCCGCGUGAGUGAUGAAGGCCUUCGGGUCGUAAAGCUCUGUUGCAGGGGAAUAAAAAAAUGAAGGUACCCUGUGAGGAAGGAUCGGCUAACUUCGUGCCAGCAGCCGCGGUAAGACGAGGGAUCCUAGCGUUGCUCGGAAUCAUUGGGCGUAAAGAGGGCGUAGGUGGCUUGGUAAGUCAGGUGUGAAAGACCAGGGCUCAACCCUGGAAGUGCAUUUGAUACUGCUGAACUUGAGUGUCGGAGAGGUUACCGGAAUACCUGGUGUAGUGGUGAAAUACGUAGAUAUCAGGUGGAACACCGGAGGCGAAGGCGGGUAACUGGACGAACACUGACACUGAGGCCCGAAAGCGUGGGGAUCAAACAGGAUUAGAAACCCCGGUAGUCC
Molecule: ribosomal RNA, 428 nt
Filed under: uncultured bacterium
Lineage: Bacteria
Description: bacterial SSU rRNA
Rfam family: Bacterial small subunit ribosomal RNA
Source: RNAcentral